GAUAUUUGUGGAGAAUUAUAGGCAAUUUGUCACAGAAUAACGUGGGACUGGUUCAUCUCUAUGUCACACGCUGGGUGCUCUCUAUCACUCUUUUCCGCGAGUCUGUGCAUGUCACUCGAUCUCUGUUCUUGCCCAGUUUCCACCAAUGCUGAAGUCAGCAUUCACCCCCAUUUACUGGGUGCUAUCACCCAAACCAAAAUCACCUAAACUAUCAUCACGCUUAAUCACCAACACCUUUUCAAACAGCACACCACAUGUUCGACUAAAUUCCUCAACCAAACACAACCCCGCCAUCACCCCUUCUUCAGCCUAUAUUCACCUUCCUUUCUGUAGAAAACGUUGCCAUUACUGUGACUUCCCCAUUGUCGCCCUUGGCUCCGCUUCAACCCAAACACACGAAGACCCGCGUGUUGUUAACUACAUUCAAUGGCUCUGCAGAGAAAUCACCGCAACCAAAGUAGAAGAAAAAAUCGAUUCCGAGACCGAGACGCCCCUUCAAACCGUCUUUUUUGGAGGUGGGACACCCUCUUUGGUUCCUCCAAGUAUGGUUUCCUCGGUUUUGGAUACACUGAGGACGAAAUUUGGGUUGAGUGAAAGUGCUGAAAUUUCAAUGGAAAUGGACCCGGGGACAUUUGAUUAUAAGAAGAUGCAAGAGAUGAUGUUGUUGGGAGUGAACAGAGUUUCUUUGGGAGUUCAAGCAUUUCAGGAGAAGCUUUUGAAGAGUUGUGGCAGGGCACAUGGUUUGGAAGAGGUUCACGAGGCUAUUGAUAUUGUCAAAAAAUGUGGGGUUGAGAAUUGGAGUAUUGAUCUUAUUGCUUCACUGCCUCAUCAGACUAGUGACAUGUGGGAGGAAAGUCUGAGACUCACCAUUGAGGCACAGCCUACUCAUGUUUCUGUUUAUGAUUUGCAAAUUGAACAAGGCACAAAAUUUGGAAGAUUGUAUGCACCAGGGGAAUUUCCGCUGCCUUCUGAGACACAAUCAGCUGAUUUCUAUAAGAUGGCUUCAAGGAUGCUUGGUGAUGCAAGUUAUAACCAUUACGAAAUCAGCAGCUACUGUAAGAAUGGGUAUGAAUGCAGACACAACUUUACCUAUUGGAAGAACAAGCCUUUCUAUGCCUUUGGCCUUGGCUCUACUAGUUUUGUUGGUGGCUUAAGGUUUGCAAGACCCAGGAAGUUGAACGAGUACAUGAAAUUUGUGGAAAAUCUGGAAAAUGGAUCAGUAAAUAGCUCAUCUGAUGAAAACAUUAAUACCAAGGACACUGCCCUGGAUGUUGUGAUGCUGUCCCUGAGAACUGCAAGAGGUCUAGAUUUGAAGCGUUUCCAAGAAUCAUUUGGAAGCUCUCUGGUUUAUUCUCUAUUUGGGGUUUAUAAACCUUAUGUUGAGAGUGGACACAUGAUUUUCUUGGACGAGCAAAGGAGAGCCAUUAGUAUAGAGGACAUCAACCAUUCUCUUUUGUAUGAUAUUAACUCAGAAAGGAGAGUGGCCUAUAUGAGACUAAGUGAUCCAAAUGGCUUCCUUUUAUCAAACGAGUUAAUAGCCCUUGCUUUUGGGGUUAUUGACUCUUGGAAGGAUUAUCCUUCUGCGCUACAAGAAGAUACAUGAAAGCAUGAUUAUCUAUCUGUUAAUACAACAAACGAGUUAUAGCUGAUGUUGUACAGCAAUUGUUUCGUGGCUAGUUUUACAAGAUGGAUACUCAAAGACAAACACAAAGAUUUCCCCAUCCGUACAUUACUCAAUUGACAUAGGUUGUUUGAAUGUGUUCUUUGGUUUUAAGGGAUGGAAGUUGAUUUUGCUUGUGCCAGAUUUUUGUGUGUGUGAUUGUAGAUGGCCGACAUUUAUCGUUGAGUUGAGUGGACUCUGGGAUUUUUCUUCCAACCUGAUGGUUUCUAGUUGUAUUUGUAAUGGUUGUGUUGGACUACAGGAAUUAAAGUUAUUUAGUAGCAAGCAUGAUGUGAAUAAGGGAAAAGAUGGGAUUCAAAGUUGUCGCAAGAGGAAAAGAAAGGUACUAUAAUGAUCUAUUUUUAUUCGACUUUGAUCAAUUUAAGGUAAAUUUCUACUGAUCCUAAUCAUGUUAAUAUACUAUUUUCUAUUCCAAUUUCCAAGUACAGCACCGAAAUGUCGGGCAGUAUGAUGUAAUAAUGUUGAUAUAGAAAUUUUUGGCUGCCUGGAACAAUGUGGCUGACUGGGCGUAGUGGUUUCCAUUAAUUUGUUUACCAAGAUAAAGUGAGUAGAAUACUGAUCUGUUUAUAUGAAGCUAAUUUUUGUUCUAUUAAGCUCUAUUGCCUUUGUUGAUUGUGUCUGGUUGUAUUUUUGCCUGCAAAAGCAUCUCUGAACUUCAACUAGUAUUUUUCUUCUUCCACUCCUUUCUUCAUUGUUUCUUGUUGCAUGUAAAGCUAUAUGCGUACAAACUCGUAUUGGCAAAUGGCAGCCCAUGAACAUUGAAUGCACAUAGGAAAAGUAGGUUAUGCUUUUCUGUCUUUCUUUUGUUAUAUUCUGAUUUAGUUUUACUUGUAAAAGCUAUGUGUAGCGGUGGCAAAACGGGCCCGGCCCGCGGGAAAAGCCCGUUUUACCCGCACUUUUUCGCGGGGUGGGACAAGGUUUUAGGCCCGCUCCAUUUAAUGUGCCCGCCCCGUCCCGUUUUUUUGCGGGCAUGAGCUUUUUCAUACAGUUUUACUAUUUUUAUGCCUAAAAGGUUCAAUGCCCGCGGGCUUUGUCCGCCCUGCCCUCAUUUUUUUGCAGGGCGGGACAAGGUUUUAGACCCGUACUCUCAAAUGUGUCCGUCCGCCCCGCUUUUUGCGGGCUUUUGCGGGGCAGGCAUGUCCGUUUGCCACCCCUAAUGAUGUGUACUAGUUUGACUAGUUUCCGGAAAUGGAUUCACUGACGUUUACGCUCGAACUACAGAGUGCAGUUCAUUAAUUUUGGUCUGUUAGAUAAAUCUAAACAUCUAUAUAAUUCCACGUGUCCACCUUGUACUUACAAAAUUGAAACACCUCAGUCUCUCACCUCCCUUUCAUGGCUGAAGACUCUUUUUUGCUUUCGUCUCCCACCGCCACCAUCUCUCACAUGUUAUCAUUCUAGAUGUCAUCUCUUAUAUUGUUAUCGUCUCAGGAUGUUGCUGCACUGGUUCUAUGUUUCCGCCAUAGUAAUCUCCUCGCCGGCAGAUCUAACCGGUUCUUAAAUCUCUGUCGCUAACUUGCAAACUCACACCGCUACCACCGAUUCAUUUCAUCAGGUUUGGGAAAAACAGUGGCGUGGCUCUACAACUCCAUAAAAUUCUCACGUCAGUAAGCUUCCUUAACAAAGGCAAAGAAAUAUCCCCAUGUUAACUCUAUAAUUCUGUUGAGUUGUAAUUUUCCCCCAAAAAAACAACACAAUCUCUACACCUUAUUCUUCCUGUUUUUUCCACUAUCGCACUUUUAUAAGUCUCCACCUUGACUAUCAAAGUUAGUAUCUGCUCCGGUAGCCAUUUGAAUUUGAAGAUGACGGUGGCUGGUGGUGUGACGGGACAAAACGGUGGUGUGUUACCUUCACACUUAAUCUUUAGCAAGUCAAACAAAAAAUAAAAUACACAGCCACGUGGUUCAUUUUCGAGCACAUGAUUUAUCAAACGGAUUAAAGUUUUUUAAAGGUAGAGUGACGUUCCCGCGUGGACGUCAGACAAUCCGGAUCCCUAGUUUCCUCCUUUUCUAUAUUUCUUUUGCCACAGAUUAUCUCUUAAAUAUCAAUAGUACUAUUCAAUCUUGUUCUUCUUCUUCUUCUUAUGUAUUCUGGAGGAACAGAAAAAAACUUCAGCUGGUCUUUCUUUCUGUUUUCGUCAACUCAAAUUUGCCAAGUACUUGUUAAAAAAUUACAAAAUGUUGGUGUCUGAUCUACAUAUCAAUAAUAUUUGAGGGAGGCUAUAUAACCCUAAAACUUUGAACCUUUUGCAGAAUUGAAAUGAACUUUAAAAUCUUUAUCCCGUAAAUCAUGACUAAUUCGGUCAUCGCACUAGUCGACAUGACACAAUUCCAGCUUCCCAUUUGUUUCAUGGUAGGGUUAUGAUAUAAAUGGACUUAGAAUAGAAUAGAAUGGUGUCACGAGUCUGUUUGUGUGUUAAUUUCAACUAAACCGAAGGAUUACUUAGUGAAAAAUUAUUAGUUUUGGAAUAAAUCAAAAAGUUCUGUAAAGUUGUCCUCAUUGUUGCAAUUUAGUAAUUUGACUUUGGAUAACUUAUGUGGAAUUAUGAAUUUGAAACUUGAGUCACUACAUUUCUCCAACCUUGCAAAUGUUAAUACGAGUAAGUGAUUGUCACUAGGCCAAUAACAAAAUUUUCUUCUAUAAAGUCCAUUGCGUCAAUAUGCGAAAUGGUCAAAGUUCAAUAUGGUUGUUGUAUGGAUUUCUCCCUUAUUUUUUAUUUGUAGUUUGACGCUUCUUAUUACUUCUUCACCUUUAGUUGGGGGCAAUGGCGGAAGUGGUAUAUGCCUUUGUUGACAUGAUAAUAAUGUCCUGCUCAAGGUUGGUUAAAGUGUUGAACUUUCAUACCAUCAUGAAACAAGCCCUUAAUUCGUUGCCAUUUGCUUUUAUUUUUAACUUAGAUAAGGCUCCUCUUAGUUAGAGUAAAGAUUUUGGAAAACUUGUUCAAAAGAACAAUGAUGUGGAGCCGAGGGUUUGGCUAGGAGGCUUUGGACAUUCAUUGAAUUCUUUCACGGGGAUUGCUCUUUCAUCUUUAGUGGCGGAAAUUAUGUAACACUCUAAACUCCGAAACUUAUAAAUAAAUAAUUAUUCGAUAUUGUCACUAAUGACAACCAUGCAAAUAAAACAUAAG
Molecule: RNA transcript, 4805 nt
Organism: Vicia villosa (hairy vetch)
Lineage: Eukaryota; Viridiplantae; Streptophyta; Magnoliopsida; Fabales; Fabaceae
Exons: 3
Source: RefSeq, a predicted model, not a curated record